CUCCCUACUGAACACACUCUGUAAUAUGGAGGCAGAUUUAGGGACAUGGUACCAGGAGCUAUGGACAUCUCUCCUAAACGGGAAGGCAAAUACAAGUUUGAGGGCCAACUUAGUUUACUGCACGGACUAUUUCAUACAUUGAUAGAUGACUAUGCAUGCAUUUCUACUUGAUGGCUCACCAAAAUUGUAUUAUAGAAGGCAUUUUGUCACAGUGGAAUCUGAAUUCAGAGAACCAUUCAUAUCACCAUCUUCUUGGCCCAUAAAACCGACAAAGAAAUUAUCUGAUAUUGCAAGGGCAGCUUGUCAGCAUGGGUACUAAGUAUGAAGCAAGGAAGAAUCCAUUACCCAGAGCAGAAUUCUCGACGAAAUGCCACUACAAAAGAAAAGAACACACAUCUCACUCAAGCCUUAAGCUCUUAGGAACAUGAAACAUGAGAGAAAAAAAUCAAACCUACUUUUGGCCAUCAAGACCAUCAACUGUUGCUACCGUAGAUCCUGGCCUGAGGUCAGUCUCUGUUCUACCAUCUGUCAUCAUCAGUGUGUAAUCAGAAAUAGAGAUGAGUUUUAGCUUAAACAAUC
Neofelis nebulosa (Clouded leopard) is the source of this 579-nucleotide long non-coding RNA. RefSeq lists it as uncharacterized. Lineage: Eukaryota; Metazoa; Chordata; Mammalia; Carnivora; Felidae. The transcript has 3 exons. The record is from RefSeq and is a predicted model, not a curated record.